Ictidomys tridecemlineatus (thirteen-lined ground squirrel) is the source of this 2633-nucleotide long non-coding RNA. RefSeq lists it as uncharacterized. Lineage: Eukaryota; Metazoa; Chordata; Mammalia; Rodentia; Sciuridae. The record is from RefSeq and is a predicted model, not a curated record.
CCACGCCUUUUCAUCUAUUGGUCAGUUUGUGAGCUUGUGGGCGUGGCUUAACGCAACACUGCUAGGCAAAGGGGUGGCCUUCUUGCCAAUCAGAACCGAGACGCCUGGAGGGGGUGGGACCAGGGAAGAAGUGAGGGCGCCCCCGAGUGGGUGUGGUCACGUUGCCCAGCAGUGGGCGGUGAUUGGCCCUGGGCGGUGCAAUCGCAACUUGUGCGUCACGACGCUGCCAGCUGAUCGGAGACUGGAGCCGGUGUGUGCUGGGCGCUGGGAAGAGACAGCGCCGCCGGCCGUGGGGAGCGGACCGCAGUGAUUUGCUCCCUAACUCUCAGCAACCCCCACACCCAGCACCAGGAGCUUGUGCCUCCGCCAUCCUCACCUGGCUGAGCCGCAGUAGUUCUUCAGUGGCAAGCUUUAUGUCCUGACCCAGCUAAAGCUGCCAGUUGAAGAACUGUUGCCCUCUGCCCCUGGCUUCAAGGAGGAAGAGGAGAAGGAUCUGCUUUCUCUAUCAUCUGGAAGGUGACAGAACUGGGGCUGGGAAGAUCUUAACUGCAGGGGUGAUAAUAGCUUUGGGGAGGAAAGAAAACCCUACUCAGAGAACCUUCACCCAGAUUGUCCCAGCAAAGGAGCAGCUUUAGAUAGAGAUGCUGGCUGAAUUGGGGAAUAGGUGGCUCAAACUCUCCAAGGUUAGUUGGUCUUUGUGUGGCAAUGGGAAGAAAUGGAGAGAAGGAAACUCUGUACACCUGGACCCAGAUUUCCUCCUUUCACCUACUUUCCUUAUCUCCCAAUCUUCCUACUUGGCCUUUCCAAAAGUGAGUUUACUCUUUAGGGAAAGGUGAUAGUAAAACUCUGACCUCUAUAAGUCAUCCCUCUGCUCUUUUCCCUGUGUUUUCUUAGACUGGCCUAGAUUCUAGAUUUAGGGACACCUAAAUCUUUGGGACACCUGUUUCUCCACCUGGAGAUGGGGAAUCCCACAGAUGAGUACGUAGGAGGGCAUUAGAAACCCACCUGUGCUGACUCAGCCUGGGCUCUCCUUCCCCUGUGGGUGGAAACAAAACAGCUUUUCACAUAAAUUCUCCCUCCCCCAUCUCUGAUUACAAUCCCAGGUGUUGGGGGGUGGGGAGGUAGAGCUACUUAGUAAGAGCUCAGUCUUUAUAUUGACUUCCCACCAUGCAAGCAUGACCUAAGGCUUCCCCUGCCACCCAAUAGCCAAUGGGGUUCUACUGCUGCUUCUCUUACUUUGCUUUCCAGGGUAGUGACUGACACUAAGCUUGGGCUUGUACAACCGGGGAAGAUGGGUUGUGGGAUGUGACCCCCUUUUGGAUGUCAGACAUUGUAAACCCACCACCUCUAGCUCCUCGUUCAUUCUCACUUGUGGGCUUGGGCUGGGGCUCUGGUGUGAUUCAGCCUUGGAUCAGUCUCCCUGACAGAACUACCCAAGUUCUGGGAUUACAGGAAGCUGUUUGAUCUGUUUGGUGAGAGGAGAUGUGCAGGGGGGCUUGAUCCUAUUCUCCAUUUAUGAGAAACUGAAAGUCAUAGGGGAGAGAAGAUCAUUGAACCCAGCUCCUCUGUAGCCUUAACUGAGGGGCAGGAUGUGUGUAGGACUAUGGUAGAGGAGGGUGGGUAGACUGAGUCUACUCAGAGGCUGCAACAAAGAUUGCUCUGUCCCUGGACAUUGCUUCCACCCUUUCUUUACCCCUCCUCACUUCACUGGCCACGGUGUGUCCAUCCAGCUCUGAGCAUAUAGCUCUGCCAUGUUCAGCCAUCACAGAGCAGAGGUGAGGAAGGGCAGCCUGAAAAUACAGAGGCAGGCAGAAGACCAGUGAAUGACCAGACCUGGAGAGCACAGGGCUGGAUCUGGGCAGCCAGCAGUGGGGCCCAUCAAGGACUGGAGUUCCCCAGGAGGAGGGAGAACAGCCAGCCUCCACCAAGGACAAGCUUCCAGCCAUCUCCUACUUCACUCACCAUUGUUCUUCAGUCCUUCUGCCUCUCUUGGAGAUGUGAAACCAUGGUGAAGUGUCCCAUGGCUUCACCUGCCUUCUUCCAGCUCUUUCCCAGCCUGUGAUUUUUAUAUAAGCAGCCUCAAGGAGCAUGAGGCAGCUGUGAGAGGACAUACUCAGGAAAUUCAUAAAAGGAAUUCAAAUGUAUAAGAUCAUGAAAAAAUGAUUUUAUAAUAAUGAUUAAGGAAGGAAAAAAAAUCACUGAAAGCAUUUUUCCCUUAGCAUAAUAAAUAAGAUGCAAUAUUGGCCAAAGAACUCUUAUACAUUACAUGUGGGAGUAUAAAUUGGUACAGCCUUUCUGGAUGGAAGUUUGAUAAUAUGUAUUAAACAACCUAAAAAGUUUCGUGUCUUUUAAACCAGUGUUUCGACAUUUGGGACUCUCUUAAGAAAAUAAUUAAAGAUUUAGUUAUAAAAUGUUCGUUCAUUCCAGGCCUAAAGAAAAAUGGAAAGCAACUGUUUGGGAAUUCAUUCCUUUUCUGCUGUAAUGAAAAUUUGCAAUAGGGGAUUUCUUAAGUAAAUUAUUGUAUAUCUGUCCAGAUGGUGGAGUACUGUGCAGCCAUUAAAAGUCAUGUACAAGAACAUUUUGACUGGAAAGAAAAAUGCUCUUUGAAUAUUAAAGAGGUUACAAAAAUAGUG